This is a non-coding RNA of Pelobates cultripes (western spadefoot toad), 296 nucleotides long. The record is from the annotation of a GenBank genome assembly. Lineage: Eukaryota; Metazoa; Chordata; Amphibia; Anura; Pelobatidae.
AGCAGUGUGUUUUUGUGUAAGGGAUAGAAAGCAGUGAGUGUUUGUGUAUAAGGGAUGUAUUGUGUGUUUCUUGUUGUGUGUAAGGGAUGCAUUGUGUGAAUCUGUGUUUGUAUGCAUAAGGGAUACAAAGUGUGUUUCUGUGUAUGUAAGGGAUGCAGUGUGUGUGUCUGUAAGGGGUGCGUUGAGUGUGUGUAAGAGAUGCAUUGUGUUUCUGUGUGUGUGUGUGUGUGUGUAAGAGAAGCAGUGUGUGUUUGCAUGUGUGUGUAAGGAAUGCAUUGUGUGUUUCUGUGUAUAUG